GUCACAUCUAAUUUUUCAUAACUCUUGUUUUCUGGAGUUUUUUGCCUAUUGAAGUUUUUUUGGACAUGUUUUUCUUAAUGUUUCGUCAGCGGAACGAUCCUAAAAAUAUAGGCAGUCUAAAACACUGUCUGAAUUUGUUCCAAGCGAAACGCACCUUCACUGCUCAUUUGCUUUAAACUGAAAGUUCUUUCAUCAUGUACCCACCUUCGUGCUGCUCGAUGUGACUUCUUUUCACGUCAGAAGCUGCUCUUUUCAAUACAACAAAAAUACAUGGUGAUCACUGGCUGUUAAGUUUAGUUGCAUUUUUGCUUGGUCUAUUAAGAAAAAAUGAUAUAUUUGGAUGGGAAACCAAAACAAACGGUCAGUCAGCUCCCUAGUUCUGUAGUCAGGGCACUGGUUAGGGAAUCGAAGUAUAGAUCUCUGCAGAAAAAUUAUGGGCAUUUCCCAAUCUGUGGCCUUUUUUAAACCGGGAUGGGCGUUUUUCAACAAUCCAAUGAAAGUAGGGAAUCUCAAUGUAGUAAUCAGUGGACGCUUCCAAACAAGGAUGGCCGUUUCUCAACUAUCCAAUGAAAGUAGGGAAUCUCAUUGUAGUAGGCAAAUCACUUAAAAUGGUUGGAAAACGCCCGUCCCGAUUUGAAAACGCCCACUGAUUGGGAAACGCCCAUUUUUGUUCUGUCUCAGGGAAUCGACCCUUUCUAGGGCUGUCCUAUUCACAAAUUCAGCCAAUGCCCGACUUUGUGUUCACGAUAUACUGACAUAUACAACAUAGGGAGGUAGGGAGCGAGAUGAGAUGCACCAUUCACACUGACAGCGAGUAAGCAUUCAUAAAUCAUGUGGCGGAUCACUGUGUGCCUUCCCAUUCACUGUAAAAAAUAAAAAGUUGGGAAAACGUUAAAAAAUGAAGGCAACCAGCUUAAGGAUUUUUUUGAGUUUUCUCAACUUAAGGGCAAAUUAGUUGUUUCAACUUAACAGUUUAAGUUUGUCUGUGCUUAUAUAACAGUGAUUUCUACAUGUUUAUCCAAAUUCAACAAGCUCACAUUUUUAAAUUUGUAGCGACAAAUUCUUUGUCAUGCAGCUUUUCAAUUCCACUAAAGUUCAUGUAUCAGCCCCACCAAAAUACUAUUUAGUUGGUCUGACUUAAAAAGCAGUGUAUGUAAUCACCACUUAAACUUCCACAAAGUUAAGACAACUGGAAAACUGAAGAAACUUCACCUGAGUGAACACUAAUCACCCUGAUGGUGACUUCAAAUAAAACAACUUUUUACAGCAAGACAUAAUUUAAACACUAAAACACACAAAAAAAGAAGCAUCUAUUAAUUCUGAACGGUAAUUAGUUUCAUGUACAUUUAUGUUGCCAUGCUUUGACCAAAGACACAUAAAUAAUUCAAGAGCAGGGAUUAUGGGCAUUGCCUCUGCACAAAUUGCUUCUCCAGUUGGCAUGCUCAAUGGCAGAUGCAACAAAAUGAAUCUUUUGACUCGUGAAUUUUCAGGACCUUACCAAGACUACUGGAGAAGAUUCUUAAGAAUCAAAGCAAAAUUUAAGUUACCUGAUAUUUUCUGAUUUUUUUAUGUCUGUGGGAACCCUGGCCUUAACUGACUACAGUAACAUGAAGUUUUCACUGCACAGACGUUCACAAAAAUUCUACAGAAAAUCCACUGAACAGACAAAUACAGUUAUUGUGCAUUAUGUUGUCAGCUAGUAAGAUCAAUACAAUACUUUUUUAGAAGUAAAUCUUAGUUCUGUAGGUUCAUAAAAUACAAGUGAAUGGUGGCAGCGUAAACCGAGUCCCCUAGUGGAUGCGCUUUCGAGGGUGACUGGAAGUAAGAAAUGUAUUAUUCUUGGGUGAACUAUGCUUUUAAAAGAUGUUUAUUUAUUUCUUUUUAAAUCUUAUCUCAUGUAGUGCACCAAGUAAGCUAAAAUAAGUAAAUGCAUGACUCUCAUUAUGCCUCCUGAUGUUAGUUUUUAUCUCUACUUUCAUCAGUCACGUGGUACUGGUCAGGAAUACGAACACACAGACUCUCUCUGUCUGAAACCUGACAUCACAAUCUUUUAGUCACAAGUGCUGGGAAUGAGUUUUUGCCAGGGACCUUUAAAAUGAAUGCUUGAUUAUAAUUUUCUUAACACUGUGUCCUAACCAGACAUCCCAGCUAACCAAAUGACAUGGCCAUUACGUAACUGCAACGUAAUUUGAUGACCAAACUUUCAUCGUGGCAACGUAACUGAUUAUGUCGUGACAACCUGGAAAAUUCUAUCUAUCUAUCGAUAGAUAGAUAGAUAAAUAGAUAGAUUCACAUUUAUAUUAUAUUAUGUAUACAUGUAUUUUAACAAAUAGCAUCAAACAUAUUUACAUACAUAAAGGCUUACUCUCAAAAAAAAGAUUUUUGGAGGCUGUUCACUUUAUUUAAACAAUUCAUUUUGAUUUAACACCAUUGUAUCAGGUUUCUUGUUCAAACACGAUUGCAUCAUGUUAAACUGACUUGAAAAUGUGACUCUUUGGUUUAACUCGAUGCGUUCAUUUCGAAAGAGCUUGUUCCAAUCAAGCUUGUUCAAAAAGGGCAACUGGCAGCAGGAAGUAAACAGUUGGGACACAGUCGGCAGCAGUCAUCAAGUGUUUCCAUUUGAAGAGAUAAAUUUGAAUUGGCAUUUAUUAUAUUGAGUUUGUUAACUAUUUUAAUGUUUUGAUGGGAGCACUGCAGGAUCAUUGGAGUUCACUUGACUUAUGAAUAAUACACUUUAUUUAAAUGGAUUUCCAUGACUCCUUAUAACUUGACCAGAUUGCCUUCUUUAAUAAGUACAAACAACAGUUAUUGUUGUUUUGUUUUUUUUAUUCUGUUGUUUGUCUUGCAUUGCCCUAUAUAGUCAAAAUGCAACGUAUAACACCAAUUAAAAAGGAUUUGGCCUGGAUGAACAAAAUUAACUUAAUGUGUAUUGAAAGAAUCAAUUAACAUUUUUAUGUGAUGUGCAAAGCAAAGCAAGUACAUUAAAAACGUUAAAAUAUUGAGUUGGAACAGACACCUUUAUUGACGUGCAUAUUCAUUUGGACAUAAUAUCUACUUAUUUAUUGCACCAUACGUGAAAAAAUCGGUUUGCAUGUAUUUAAGGUUUACAUGCAUGUAGCUUCUAAUUAGAGGAGUUUUCUUUUGGAGAAGGAAUAUACUUCUGUUCAAACACAUGCUUAUGAUUUGGAUGCUGUGAGCGCGCACUUUUCCUCCAUCAAGAUGUUCGCUGCUGUCCGAGUGGAUUCAAAAGUAAGUAAUCUCAAAUUCAGUCAUAACUUCUGUUAUUAUUUUUGUAAUACGGGAACUACACAAAGAUUAAAUUUAGAUGAAUUUACAUAAAUAUCCCUAACAGUACUUAAUGUUGGAAGGAGGCAUAGAGCAAGUUGCUGGUUUAGGUAACUAAUGUAACCUCUUAGUUUAACUUCAGUUUAAUUAUGAUAUUUGAGGAUAUGUAGAAUACAAAACGAACAGCACCAGUUACCUAAAGAGCGUUUUGUUCGUCUACAGGAUAGUAUUUUAAAUGAUGCAGCACGUGCUUAACUAAAGCAGCUCCUCAGUGGAUCGACAGAGAAUAUUGAGGGCUCAAAGGACUUGUUUGGACUAGUUUCCCGCCCUAAUUUGAACAAGGUGGAUGUAUUUUGUUGUUCGCAUGUUACAAGUUUCCGAGGUGUUUGCUGAGUAGCACUUUACAAAUCAGAAUCUACCAAACACACAUAUGCAGAACUUGAUCAGCACAGUCUUCACUGAUGUCUUUAUAUCUCGUCAGAAAGCACUGGAGUCGGAAAAUACUUCUGAUGAACUUGCUGAGAUUCUCUUGACUCGUUACUUAAAGGGCUGAAGAUUCAGAAGAGACAAAUGUUGAAUAUUCACCAGUUGCCCUGUUAACAGCGGUCAGAGAACUCACUGAUGCUGCAAUUCACUACAAUCUGGUCAGAAAUUUCAUUGUUCUUGAAAGUGAACCCAUCACCCACCUGCCCAGGCUUUUCAGGUUUCUUUUUACAUUUGGACUGAUUUAUGCAUUAGAUCUGAGUUACCCAAAAGAGUAGGCUUUAUAAGGUUUAAACGUUGAAGGAUGUGCAACACUAAUGGAGCUGUAGACAAUUUAUCCUGUCGCUGUCAAAUGUGGGUUUUUUUGUGCAUCAUGUUUUGUCAAUAAUUGUACCUUGUCUUUUUAUA
Long non-coding RNA from Myxocyprinus asiaticus (Chinese sucker), 4176 nucleotides. RefSeq lists it as uncharacterized. NCBI's taxonomy places the organism in Eukaryota, Metazoa, Chordata, Actinopteri, Cypriniformes, Catostomidae. The record is from RefSeq and is a predicted model, not a curated record. The transcript is spliced from 4 exons.